RNAcentral lists this small nucleolar RNA (136 nucleotides) under Salvator merianae (Argentine black and white tegu). Lineage: Eukaryota; Metazoa; Chordata; Lepidosauria; Squamata; Teiidae. The record is from RNAcentral.
CUGCAAACUCGAUCACUGGCUCUGCCUUUUGUGGCAGAUGCAAGGGGAACAGGUUUGCUAAAUGAAACAUGGCAACAGAAGUAUAAAUGCUUUAGAAUAAUAUUACUAAAGCAAUUUAUUCUGUACCAUAACACCU